UACGUAGGGUGCAAGCGUUGUCCGGAAUUAUUGGGCGUAAAGAGCUCGUAGGCGGUCUGUUGCGUCGGUUGUGAAAACCCGGGGCUCAACUCCGGGCCUGCAGCCGAUACGGGCAGACUAGAGUUCGGCAGGGGAGACUGGAAUUCCUGGUGUAGCGGUGAAAUGCGCAGAUAUCAGGAGGAACACCGGUGGCGAAGGCGGGUCUCUGGGCCGAUACUGACGCUGAGACGCGAAAGCGUGGGGAGCGAACAGG
Molecule: ribosomal RNA, 253 nt
Filed under: uncultured bacterium
Lineage: Bacteria
Description: partial 16S ribosomal RNA
Rfam family: Bacterial small subunit ribosomal RNA
Source: RNAcentral